UUUACAAGUACAGAAUCCGGGUAUGAUGCAUAUUACAUCCUUUUUAAAAAAAUUUCUAAUUAUUUGGCAUCAUAAUUUUCCAACUGUCAACGUUAUGAUCAACUCAAUGGCAUGAAAUGAUGAAACAGUCCCACUCCUUUGUUCCGCUUCCAUUUGGGGUGGGUGGGAAAAAUUGGACCAUACUCUGGGGUAGUUGACGGUGAGAAUCUAUCAAGCAUGUGACUGUUGUUGUGAAUUAGAUUUGGGGUGGCAUUGAAUCAAUUUUUGAGGAUAUUCUUUUCCCCAGUUUCAGAUAAAUUGAAUUAAUAUUUUGAAUUUAUAAGUAGACAUACAUACCUUAAAUAUAGCAACAGUACUGAAUUUCAUUUAUUAUGAAACUGUUUUCCAGG
RNAcentral lists this unclassified non-coding RNA (389 nucleotides) under Hevea brasiliensis (rubber tree). Lineage: Eukaryota; Viridiplantae; Streptophyta; Magnoliopsida; Malpighiales; Euphorbiaceae. The record is from RNAcentral.